AUGCAGCUUCCUUCAGCAGUGAAAAUUGCAAAAUGCCAGAAAGUUACAAGAUUUGACUUCUAUGAUGCAGCUUCCUUCAUUAAGCAAUUUUCUCCAUCCCUGUGCUCAUUUAGCCAUUCAAACUCUCUCCUUGUUCCAGAAAGAUUUUGGCAUUUGAUUUUCAGCAAUUUCUGCCACAUCCUAAUAAUAUAUUAG
Non-coding RNA from Vicia faba (fava bean), 195 nucleotides. The record is from the annotation of a GenBank genome assembly. Lineage: Eukaryota; Viridiplantae; Streptophyta; Magnoliopsida; Fabales; Fabaceae.